Molecule: long non-coding RNA, 317 nt
Filed under: Panax ginseng (ginseng)
Lineage: Eukaryota; Viridiplantae; Streptophyta; Magnoliopsida; Apiales; Araliaceae
Description: long non-coding RNA (PGIN_LNC003119)
Source: RNAcentral
UUAUAUUUAUAGUACUCACCACCUUAGAAUCUUUCUCCCAGUCGGAUUAGGACUCCUAAUGUAUGGUAGUUACCAUAACUUGGGUCCAACACAAUCUCCUUAAAAGGUGCAAGUAGAGUCCAAUCUCAUCACCACCUUUGGAGUUACCUUAUAUUCCUAUGAAUAGGUACCCGGACUCUGCACGCAGGAGAGCCCACUAUGCAAGCCCAAACGGUCCUAUAAUCUAGUCUGGGCUUCGGCCCAAAGAACUCGAAGACCCGACCCCAAACAUCACAAGACCGGGUUCAGCUCCGGCCCAGGAGGGCUUAGAUGCCGAC